This 291-nucleotide signal recognition particle RNA is filed under the name Aotus nancymaae (Ma's night monkey). Its description in RNAcentral is "Metazoan signal recognition particle RNA (ENSANAG00000005406.1)". It matches the Rfam family "Metazoan signal recognition particle RNA". From Rfam's summary of the family: The signal recognition particle (SRP) is a universally conserved ribonucleoprotein. It is involved in the co-translational targeting of proteins to membranes. The eukaryotic SRP consists of a 300-nucleotide 7S RNA and six proteins: SRPs 72, 68, 54, 19, 14, and 9. The record is from Rfam by way of RNAcentral. Lineage: Eukaryota; Metazoa; Chordata; Mammalia; Primates; Aotidae.
GCCGGGUGCAGUGGCAUGUGCCUAUAGUCCCAGCUACUAGGGAGGCUGAGGCUGGAGGAUCACUUGAGCCCAGGAGUUCUGGGCUGUAGUAUGCUAUGCCGAUUGGGUGUCCUUGGCAUCAGUACGGUGACCUCUUGGGAGCAGAGGACCACCAGGUUGCCUAAGGAGGGGUGAACCGGCCUAGGUCAGAAACGGAGCAGGUCAAAACUCCUGGGCUCAUCAGCAGUGGGAUUGCACCUGUGAAUAGCCACUGCACUCCAGCCUGGGCAACGUAGCAAGAUCACCAGCCUG